CUCCGUCGUAAGCAUACCUCUAAAAGUAAAAGUAUGCAACUAUAAUAACACCUAAUAACGUCAGGUCAAAGUGCAGCCAAUGAUAGGGAGAUGAUGGGUUACACCCAGAAAAAAGAUACGAAGUAUAGCACCUAAAAACUAUAUGAAGGUGGACUUGGACGUAACAUUAGCCCAAUGCCAUAGUGAAACCGAAUCUAAGACAUGCACACAUCGCCCGUCACUCUCACCAAAAGGCGAGAUAAGUCGUAACAAAGUAGGUGUAACGGAAGUUGCACCUGU
This 279-nucleotide ribosomal RNA is filed under the name Diporodrilus pilosus. RNAcentral's name for it is "partial 12S ribosomal RNA". Lineage: Eukaryota; Metazoa; Annelida; Clitellata; Crassiclitellata; Lumbricidae. The record is from RNAcentral.